AUGAACGCUAGCGGCAGGCCUAAUACAUGCAAGUCGAGGGGCAGCACAGGUAGCAAUACUGGGUGGCGACCGGCAAACGGAUGCGGAACACGUACGCAACCUUCCUUUGAGCGGGGAAUAGCCCAUAGAAAUGUGGAUUAAUACCCCGUAAUAUCGUUGCCAGGCAUCUGGUGGCGAUUAAAGCUCCGGCACUCGAAGAUGGGCGUGCGUCUGAUUAGGUAGUUGGCGGGGUAACGGCCCACCAAGGCGACGACGGGUACCUGGUCUGAGAGGAUGAUCAGGCACACUGGAACUGAGACACGGUCCAGACACCUACGGGUGGCAGCAGUCGAGAAUAACUCACAAUGGGGGAAACCCUGAUGGUGCAACGCCGCGUGGAGGAUGAAGGUCUUCGGAUUGUAAACUCCUGUCAUUGGAGAGUAAGACCUGGCGGUCAAUAGCCGACAGGGUUGAUAGUAUCCAAAGAGGAAGGGACGGCUAACUUCGUGCCAGCAGCCGCGGUAAUACGAAGGUCCCAAGCGUUGCUCGGAAUCACUGGGCGUAAAGGGAGCGUAGGCGGCGUGGUAAGUCAGAUGUGAAAUCCCGGGGCUCAACCCCGGAACUGCAUCCGAUACUGCCGUGCUUGAGGGUUGGAGAGGUAGCUGGAAUUAUCGGUGUAGCAGUGAAAUGCGUGGAUAUCGAUAGGAACACUCGUGGCGAAGGCGAGCUACUGGACAACAUCUGACGCUGAGGCUCGAAGGCUAGGGGAGCAAAAGGGAUUAGAUACCCCUGUAGUCCUAGCAGUAAACGGUGUGCGCUUGGUGUGAGGGGAUUCGACCCCCCUUGUGCCGGAGCUAACGCGUUAAGCGCACCGCCUGGGAAGUACGGCCGCAAGGCUAAAACUCAAAGAAAUUGACGGGGACCCGCACAAGCGGUGGAGUAUGUGGCUUAAUUCGAUGCAACGCGAAAAACCUUACCCACCUUUGACAUGUACGGAAUUUGCCAGAGAUGGCUUAGUGCUCGAAAGAGAACCGUAACACAGGUGCUGCAUGGCUGUCGUCAGCUCGUGUCGUGAGAUGUUGGGUUAAGUCCCGCAACGAGCGCAACCCUUGUCAUUAGUUGCUACAUUUGGUUGGGCACUCUAAUGAGACUGCCGGUGACAAACCGGAGGAAGGUGGGGAUGACGUCAAGUCCUCAUGGCCCUUAUAGGUGGGGCUACACACGUCAUACAAUGGCUGGUACAAAGGGUUGCCAACCCGCGAGGGGGAGCUAAUCCCAUAAAGCCAGUCGUAGUCCGGAUCGCAGUCUGCAACUCGACUGCGUGAAGUCGGAAUCGCUAGUAAUCGUGGAUCAGAAUGUCACGGUGAAUACGUCCCCGGGUCUUGUACACACCGCCCGUCACACCAUGGGAGCGGGUUCUGCCAGAAGUAGUUAGCCUAACCGCAAGGAGGGCGAUUACCACGGCAGGGUUCGUGACUGGGGUGAAGUCGUAACAAGGUAAC
Molecule: ribosomal RNA, 1481 nt
Filed under: uncultured bacterium
Lineage: Bacteria
Description: partial 16S ribosomal RNA
Rfam family: Bacterial small subunit ribosomal RNA
Source: RNAcentral